UGAAGAGGAAGUGGCGGUUUAGGAAACUAGAAGGUUGGAGAGAGAGGCAUAACGAGUGGUUACUUUGUAAAACCGUACUCUUCCCUACUGUAAUAGUUCAGACCAGAAGCCAAAUUGUUUAGGCCGUUCAAUCUCGUUGUGUCGACUAGAUCUAGGUGAAUAAUAUGAGGGUGAGGUGGAAGAUGACCUAAUAUGUCUAAUAUGCGAAAAGAAGGUGAAGUACGAUUAAGUUAAGGUGAUGCUGACGUAGAAGAAGACGAGGGAUU
This 266-nucleotide long non-coding RNA is filed under the name Carica papaya (papaya). RNAcentral's name for it is "long non-coding RNA (CPAP_LNC002396)". Lineage: Eukaryota; Viridiplantae; Streptophyta; Magnoliopsida; Brassicales; Caricaceae. The record is from RNAcentral.